GGCACCUCACAGUCUUUACUGUAUUUAUCCUAGCAACAGCCCUCUGAGAUAGGUAAGUGCUAUUGUGUUAGGUAUUACCCUAUUAUGACACAGAGGGACUAAGAUACUUUUCCAAAGUCUAUGGCAGGGCAGGCAAUGAAACAUAGGUCUUUGGACUCCUAGGCUAAUGCCCUAACCACUGGACCAUCCUUCUUCCCUGCUACAAUAUCUCGCUCCCAUUUACACAGGAUCCUUGCCAUAUUUCCUAGCUUUUUCCUCUUCUUCAUCUGGUAGAUGUAGCAAGUUCAGUUCUUGUGCCUUUUUUAAGCAACCAGCGAUGCUUUAACAACAUAGGGGACAUGCUAGGAGCAACCCAGGAUAGGCAAGGAUGCUGGAGCCCUGAUCAUGCCCUAAGAGACAUUUGGUAGUGCAGGAAUAAUUCAGAAUGAUCCUCUGGGGGGGGUGGGGGGGGAGAAUUUUUUUUCCUGAGCAGCAGAUAAAUCCCUUAGCUCCCUAUCAACAGCAAAAGAAAAACGGACAAAGAACCAUGAGGAAAAUCAGAACCCAAAAAAUUAAACCAAACCAGUCACUAAAAUUUCAUCCACCCAGCGACCCGGCAGCAUGCCUCUGAGGGAGACACAUAGCUCCAUUUCCAUUGACAUCAAUGCAGUUUUUGCCUGAGACGGGAACUUAGGUUAACUUCAAACACUAAGUUAUAUCUGGAUGUAAAUAUAGAUAGAGCUUCCUCUUGACUUCACUGAAUCCCACUCAGAUUGCGUGUGUGUGUGUAUGUAUAACACAUGUGGUUAUAGUUUACAGCCUGAUUCUACAAUUUUUAUUCAAGCAAAAUCCCUCUGGUUACAAUGCGUGCUCUGCAUAAGGACUGCCUUGAUUUGAUUUGAUUUUAAUACCUUACAAACUUUGAUAAGGCAGGGACUUUCUUAUUAAGCAUUUGCCCAGCACACAGAACAAUGAGAUUCUGAACCUAGCUGGGCCUCCAGAUGCUACCGCAAUGCAAAUAAUAAUAUAAUCAUGACAGUAAAACAGCUCUGAGCUGGAUGUGAACUGCAUAAACAGUUAGGUGUAGUUACUGAAGUGGUGUUAUUGACAGAGCUGCAGUGACUCAUGCUUAUUUACAAGUCUACCUGUAAAACAGGUUAAAGAGUCACCCAUGCUUAAAAGGUUGCAGUGCAGAGGAAUUCUAUUCAUUUGGGACAAUCAUAAGGAGCAGAUCCUUUCGAUUUGUUUUGGUCUCGAUUCUCAGAACAUUUUCAAUGUUUUGCCCCAUAAAUCUGCUACUGCGGAUGUGACAAGCCACCUUUUGGAAAGUCAUCAGGGUUCAAUUUUACCCAACAGCUGACGUUCUCCGACUCAACUCAACUGCGCUGCCAUUAAGCAUUGCCUGGCCUGGCACGGGUCUCUUUCACAUGGAGUACAUUUGGCUAUAGGAAUGGGAGGAGAUAACGGCAAUGAAGCUAGGCAAGAGCUGUGCCAACUUCCCACCCAUCACUCUGCCAAUGCACCUCAAUCCUCUGCAUCUCACUGCUAUUGCAGUUCUGCCCCCGCAACCCCCAUGCAUUUCAAUCAUGACCUGCAGCUCCCUUUGCUAUUCCAGUCCUGGACUCCCUCCCCAUACAUAUACACACACACACACACAGUGCUCUGCCAGUGUAUCUCACUUCUGUCCUACAGCCCCCUGGUAUUCCAAUCUUGGGCGGGUGACAGAGACACACACACGCUCCACCAGUGCACCUCAAUCCUGAUCUGAGCAAAGACUUGGCCGGUGUUGCCACAGACUUGAAACCAAGUUCCCAGAGAUUAAACCUUGACCGGCCCAUGUACCUCUCCCUCUCCCCUUUUUAAAGGAACCUGACAGGAUAGAAGAAUUAUAAUCAAAACAGAAAGGAAUUUAAAAGAGACACAUUAAACCCGAGUUUGUAAUAGA
Long non-coding RNA from Dermochelys coriacea (leatherback sea turtle), 1924 nucleotides. RefSeq lists it as uncharacterized. The record is from RefSeq and is a predicted model, not a curated record. The transcript is spliced from 2 exons. Lineage: Eukaryota; Metazoa; Chordata; Testudines; Dermochelyidae.